UUUGGCAUUUGGAUUUUUCGCCAGAAUGCCGUUACCUACCGCAUGCAAUAAGUGGGUUUUACCUAAACCUGUGCCGCCGUA
Molecule: non-coding RNA, 81 nt
Organism: Rheinheimera sp. A13L
Lineage: Bacteria; Pseudomonadati; Pseudomonadota; Gammaproteobacteria; Chromatiales; Chromatiaceae
Source: Rfam